This 372-nucleotide ribosomal RNA is filed under the name uncultured bacterium. RNAcentral's name for it is "bacterial SSU rRNA". It matches the Rfam family "Bacterial small subunit ribosomal RNA", at positions 364 to 756 of the family's 1533-position model. The record is from RNAcentral.
UAUCUGAUGGGCGGGAGCCUGAGCAGCCUGCCGCGUGAAUGAUGAAGGUCUUAGGAUUGUAAAAUUCUUUCACCGGGGAAGAUAAUGACGGUACCCGGAGAAGAAGCCCCGGCUAACUUCGUGCCAGCAGCCGCGGUAAUACGAAGGGGGCUAGCGUUGCUCGGAAUUACUGGGCGUAAAGGGCGCGUAGGCGGACAGUUAAGUCAGAGGUGAAAGCCCAGGGCUCAACCUUGGAAUUGCCUUUGAUACUGGCUGUCUUGAGUUCGGGAGAGGUGAGUGGAAUGCCGAGUGUAGAGGUGAAAUUCGUAGAUAUUCGGCGGAACACCAGUGGCGAAGGCGACUCACUGGCCCGAUACUGACGCUGAGGCGCGA